Molecule: ribosomal RNA, 512 nt
Filed under: uncultured bacterium
Lineage: Bacteria
Description: partial 16S ribosomal RNA
Rfam family: Bacterial small subunit ribosomal RNA
Source: RNAcentral
GACGAACGCUGGCGGCGUGCCUAAUACAUGCAAGUCGAGCGAGCGGAACUAACAGAUUUACCUCGGUAAUGACGUUAGGAAAGCGAGCGGCGGAUGGGUGAGUAACACGUGGGGAACCUGCCCCAUAGUCUGGGAUACCACUUGGAAACAGGUGCUAAUACCGGAUAAGAAAGCAGAUCGCAUGAUCAGCUUUUAGAAGGCGGCGUAAGCUGUCGCUAUGGGAUGGCCCCGCGGUGCAUUAGCUAGUUGGUAAGGUAAAGGCUUACCAAGGCGAUGAUGCAUAGCCGAGUUGAGAGACUGAUCGGCCACAUUGGGACUGAGACACGGCCCAAACUCCUACGGGAGGCAGCAGUAGGGAAUCUUCCACAAUGGACGCAAGUCUGAUGGAGCAACGCCGCGUGAGUGAAGAAGGUUUUCGGAUCGUAAAGCUCUGUUGUUGGUGAAGAAGGAUAGAGGUAGUAACUGGCCUUUAUUUGACGGUAAUCAACCAGAAAGUCACGGCUAACUACGUG